UCAUUAAAUCACACCUAAUAUACUGGAUAGUAUCUGUCACUUGGACAACUGCGGUAAUUCUGGAGCUAAUACAUGCGCACAAGCCCCGAACUUGCGUGAGGGGCGCUUUUAUUAGAUCAAAACCAAACGGCUUCGGUCGUUAGUUUGGUGAUUCUGAAUAACUUUGGGCUGAUCGCAUGGCUUUACGCCGGCGACGUAUCUUUCUAAGGUGUGCCCUAUCAACUGUCGACUGUGGCAUAGACGCCCACAGUGGUUUUGACGGGUAACGGGGAAUCAGGGUUCGAUUCCGGAGAGGGAGCCUGAGAAACGGCUACCACUUCUAAGGAAGGCAGCAGGCACGCAAAUUACCCACUGGUCGAAGACCGAGGUAGUGACGAAAAAUAACGAUACCGGUCUCAUCCGAGGCCCGGUAAUCGGAAUGAGUACACUUUAAAUCCUUUAACGAGGAACAAUUGGAGGGCAAGUCUAGUGCCAGCAGCCGCGGUAAUUCUAGCUCCAAUAGCGUAUAUUAAAGUUGUUGCGGUUAAAAAGCUCGUAGUUGGAUCUCGGCGGGAAGGAGGCGGUUCGAUAUUUGUCGCUACUGCCUCAUUUUCCCGUGUUGGUGACGGAGGUUCCAGGGUGCUCUUAAUCGAGUGUCCUGGGAUGCCGUCAGGUUUACUUUGAAAAAAUUAGAGUGCUCAAAGCAGGCUUAACACGCUUGAAUAUUCGUGCAUGGAAUAAUGGAAUAGGAUGUCGUUUCUAUUUUGUUGGUUUUCGGAAAUCGACAUAAUGAUUAAUAGGGACAGUUGGGGGCAUUAGUAUUCAGACGACAGAGGUGAAAUUCUUGGACCGUCUGAAGACUAACUACUGCGAAAGCAUUUGCCAAGAAUGUUUUCAUUAAUCAAGAACGAAAGUUAGAGGUUCGAAGGCGAUCAGAUACCGCCCUAGUUCUAACCAUAAACGAUGCCAGCUAGCGAUCCGCAGAUGUUAUUUUUUUAGGCUCUGCGGGAAGCUUCCGGGAAACCAAAGCUUUUGGGUUCCGGGGGAAGUAUGGUUGCAAAGCUGAAACUUAAAGGAAUUGACGGAAGGGCACCACCAGGAGUGGAGCCUGCGGCUUAAUUUGACUCAACACGGGAAAUCUCACCAGGCCCGGACACUGGAAGGAUUGACAGAUUGAGAGCUCUUUCUCGAUUCGGUGGGUGGUGGUGCAUGGCCGUUUUUAGUUGGUGGAGUGAUUUGUCUGGUUAAUUCCGAUAACGAACGAGACUCUGUCCUGCUAAAUAGUUCCAACGUCUUUAUUGCGUUGGAAUUUCUUCUGAGAGGGACUGGCGGCGUCUAGCCGCACGAGAUUGAGCAAUAACAGGUCUGUGAUGCCCUGAGAUGUUCUGGGCCGCACGCGCGCUACACUGAAGGGAUCAGCGUGUUU
RNAcentral lists this ribosomal RNA (1405 nucleotides) under Pontostratiotes sp. D24DZMB. RNAcentral describes it as "SSU rRNA". It matches the Rfam family "Eukaryotic small subunit ribosomal RNA", at positions 98 to 1522 of the family's 1831-position model. The record is from RNAcentral. Lineage: Eukaryota; Metazoa; Arthropoda; Copepoda; Harpacticoida; Aegisthidae.